RNAcentral lists this ribosomal RNA (514 nucleotides) under Pseudoramibacter sp. oral clone BP1-8. Its description in RNAcentral is "bacterial SSU rRNA". It matches the Rfam family "Bacterial small subunit ribosomal RNA", at positions 8 to 521 of the family's 1533-position model. The record is from RNAcentral. Lineage: Bacteria; Bacillati; Bacillota; Clostridia; Eubacteriales; Eubacteriaceae.
AGAGUUUGAUCCUGGCUCAGGACGAACGCUGGCGGUAUGCUUAACACAUGCAAGUCGAACGAGAAGUCUUUUAUUGAACCUUCGGGGGAUAUAAGAGACAGACAGUGGCGAACGGGUGAGUAACGCGUGGGCAACCUACCUAUCGGAGCGGGAUAGCCUCGAGAAAUCGGGAGUAAAACCGCAUAACACGGAUAUAUCGCAUGAUGAAUCCGUCAAAACUCCGGUGCCGAUAGAUGGGCCCGCGUCUGAUUAGCUAGUUGGUAAGGUAAGGGCUUACCAAGGCAACGAUCAGUAGCCGGUCUGAGAGGGCGAACGGCCACACUGGAACUGAGACACGGUCCAGACUCCUACGGGAGGCAGCAGUGGGGAAUAUUGCGCAAUGGGGGCAACCCUGACGCAGCAAUACCGCGUGAGUGAAGAAGGUUUUCGGAUCGUAAAGCUCUGUUAUUGGGGAAGAAGCAGUGACGGUACCCAAUGAGGAAGUCCCGGCUAACUACGUGCCAGCAGCCGCGGU